This is a long non-coding RNA of Crotalus tigris (Tiger rattlesnake), 2537 nucleotides long. RefSeq lists it as uncharacterized. The transcript is spliced from 3 exons. The record is from RefSeq and is a predicted model, not a curated record. NCBI's taxonomy places the organism in Eukaryota, Metazoa, Chordata, Lepidosauria, Squamata, Viperidae.
AAAUUGUUCCUGUUGCUGGUUUGGUGCAUACAAUCCCACUAUAAGUAUUUUCUUACCAUAUAAGCCAAGUUCAAUCAUGACGUAUCUUCCUUGAGGAUCUGAUUCUACCAGACAAGCCUCCGAUUUUUAAUAUAGCCCUAGCCAUGAACUGGCCCACAAUAAAAGCUAAAGUAUGUACAUAAAUGGUUCAUAUUAAGGAACUUUAAUGAAAUGUACUCAGUUCCCUUAAUUCAUCUAUUCUUCCAGUUGUGAAAAAUGCUCAGAGAUGCAAUACAAUUAAAUGAAGAACUAAGAAAAUAGAUUAGAGAGUUUGUAUCAGGACUAUGCCAGAAUUAUUGUGUGACAGAUGCAAUAAUUAAAUCAAAGAAAGUAAGGAAAGUUUUCUAGAAUUGGACCUAGCUAGAAUGAUAUGAAAUUUCAAGUACAUUUUAAAAGCCUUCAUAUACUCUCAUUCUUUAUUUUUUCAAAAUUCAUUUGAUUCAUUUGAAACUAUGCUCUCAUCUUUAUAUUAUAUAAUAUUAAGAAAUUGUGCAGUACUACACAUUUUCUUGGGUUACACAUUAGAUUAAAGAAAAAUGUGGCUUGCUUAGUUUUGACUCAACAUCUGGUCAUUGGAAUGUCUAAAUCACAAUUUAUGGCUUAACACAAUGUGAAAAUCUUGCCAUUGAUGCUUACUUUAUGAACCAUUAUUUAAAACAAUGAUUUAGAAAGAUACAUAAACUCAAUCUCUGGAUUUUGUUUUAAUAGAGGGUAUUUGGACAGGCCUUCUAAACGGAGGAGGAAAUCCUGAACAUAGUCAGGUACCGAGUUUUAUAGAAUUUACAGGUUAAGACCAACACAUUCAAUUGCACUUAGAAACUUAUUUGCAGCCAAUGCAGUUACUGCCAAACAAAUGUCAUAUGGUAAUAAUGACUCUGCUUUGCCAGUACAUAGGUUGCUGAAGUUUGGACCAACUGCAGUUCCUAGUUAGUCAUUAGAGGUAGAAGCUUUAAUAUGAACUCAUACUGUGCUUAAUCAGAAUCACAUUUUGUCUACCUCCACCAGUGCUCCAUGGGUCACUUCUGCCACUUCUGCUGACAGUCCUCAGUAAACCAGACAAUGCCCAUAACUUUGGCUAAUACAGUAGGAAAAUGCAUGAGAAUUAUUAUGUCAAGUAACCUGCUGCUUUCAAAUUCCAGCCAGAUGCUCAAUACGCUGCCUGUCAGGAUCAUUGGGAAACUUUCCAAGCAGCCAUUUAAUGCCUUUCUAAUAGGCUCCUGCACUCUGGACUGUCCUAAUAGAUUGCUCAAACUGGGGAGGGAAUGGCAAGAACAAAUUUAGUCAGGAUCAGGAAGUAAUUUGAUACAACAAAGGGCUCAGUCUAAUAUCUUCUAUAUCAGAGCAUACACUAUCUACUCCAAAGUAAAGGCUAGGCCUAAAUAAAUCUUCUUGUAUGCCUCAGGUCAGAUAUUUAAUUGGGAUAAUCCUGUAAUUGUCAUGAGGUAAUGAACUCCUGAGCUUUCCUGGAAUUCAGAGCAUGGAGAUUAAAGUUUUACAGUAUAAGUAACUAGUAGCCUCAGAUUGAUUUCAUAUAAAGCAAUGAUUUCCCCCCCCCCCACUUUUCUUUACUCUGCUGGUUUCAAUCUUGCCUACUAGGUGGGCCGCAGUCAAAUUACUCCUGAGGAAAAGUGGUCUUCAGCAGAAGAAAUCUUACCUACUCUUGCUGUAGGUAGUUCAGCAGGUUAUAUGAAAACUUAGUUCCAUAGCUACUUUUCUUCCAAGAUAAAAAUAAAUAGGUUAAACAAGUUUGUCUACAUUGUUUUGGGGCAUUGAUUUUUAUCUUACAUAUGAUAUUAAACAUACAUUCUAAGAUGUGACUGUCUUCCAGUUCCUCACCACUUGAUAAUAGUGUAGUUAUGUGGCAAAGCUGAUAAGGAUCUCGUACUUUUCCAUUGUACUAAGUAAUAGCAAAAUCUUCUAAAAAUCCACUCUGUAUUCAGUUUUAGAUAAGCCUGUCAGGCCCCAUUUGUUCCUCGCACAUUCUGUCUUAAUUUAAAGCUUUCAGAUGCUUCACUUGAAGAAUGUUCUUUGUUAUUUUUCUAUUUUUUCCCACUCAACAAUUUAAUUUCUUUUUCUUCUCCCUUUCUGUACUUUGUGUAAGCCCCUUUAGGAAAGGAGUAACUGAACAGGGAGACAAGAUAACAAUCUGAAAAGAAGGUUGCACUUUUAAGUCUUUAGGAUGUGUGGAGAACGGAUCACAUUUUAGGUCAUAUCUGUACAGCAAUAUUGAAAAUUCAAAAGGAUUCGCCAACUUUUAAGCACGUUGUAUUUAGUGAAAAAUAUAAAGAAAAGACAGUAAGAUGAUUGAGAAGUUACCUACUGGGAAAGUUCAAUCUCUGUGAUAGGAGCUGACACUAUGGUCAACUGAGAAGACAACUGGGAGUUCCAAUAAUAAAAAACAGAGAGAACAAAGAUCCAGCAUAUUGACUAUCAGUCUGUCUGACCUCAAUACCUGGAAAGAUUACAGAGUGAAUAAUAAAGAGAUUUGUAUGUAAAAA